GUUAUCAUUUAAACAAAAUAAAAAUUUUCUCUCUCUUUUCCCCCUCUUGAAUCAAGAGCAAGGAUUGAAGGAGUUCUCAAGAUUGAGCUAAAGAGAAGAUUUUGAUUUAUAUUCAAAUCAUUGAGUAAGUGUUGAAACUUAGAUCUAAUUAUAUUUGUGAUAGAUAUGAGUGUAUAUGGAUAGAUCAAGCAAAAAAACACCACCCUUUUUAAUUCUUUAAAUUUUCGAAAAUUAGGGUUCUUGCCCUUCAAAAAAAUUUCUUUUUCUUUUCUUAAAUUGAGGUUACAUUUAUGUAGUUGGGAUCAUAUUGAGUCUACUUCUAUAUGCAAGGAAUGAAUUUAAAAUGAAUUGUGAAUUUUCAAAUGAGUUAGUUUGUGUAAAUUUGGGAAACCUUGAUCUUGAGGAUGGAUCGAUGAAGUGAUGAUUGAUAUAUGUUAUUGAGGAUGUUAAUAUGAUAUUUGAUGGAUUGGAUUGACGAUUGAGAUGGAUUGGUGGAAUUUGAAGUGAGUUAGUUUGAUGGAAUUUGGGCAUAUGUGUUUCUAUGCUUUAAUUUACUAAUUGUUGGCUUAUAUGUGUAAUUAAGUGAGUUAAUUUGAUAGAUCUAAGGUUGAAUUGAUGAUUUAUGCAUGUUUGAAGAUUUUGAAAAAGUUUAGUUUACCUAAAAUUGGGACUUUAUUAUAUAUGUGCUAAUUUAUUAAAUUAGCUAUGUAUAAUUGAUAUUGAGCAUGAUAAAAAUGAUAAUUUAUGAUCAAUUUGAUUAAUUAUUAAGAAUGCCUAAAAUUGGUUAAGUUUAGUUUGCUAAUUUUAGGGAUUUUUGAUUAAUGAGAUCAAUACUUGAAUUGAUAAUGAUUAUGUGUUAAUUAGACUACUAGGAAGGUGAAAGCAUGAUUAAAUUGGUAUAUGAUAAUGAGAUGUGAAAAUUUCACCGAGUUAGUUUGCAUGCAUAUAAGAGAUCUUGUAUAUGAGAUGAGUUAUGAGAUGAAUGUGUCUAUAUGUGGCUUAUUGACGAUGAAUUGAGCCUAUAUAUGAAAGAUGAGACGAAACGAAUCAUUCCCUAAAAAUCUAUGAAGUGACCGAAUGCAUGCCUAGAAAGUGGAAGCCGAGUUUGAUUUUUCUUGAGUCGUUUGAUCAUGUAUUCAUGCUGUUGUGUAUUAUGUGAGUCUAAUGUGAAUUUUCAAGAAAUUUUCAACUAAGAAAUUCAGAGUUUAGUUUGUCAAGAAUGAGAUAAAAUGGCAUAACUUGUUGAUGUGAAUUAUUUUUGGAUAAAUGAUUUAAGAAUGUUUCAUAUUAUGUUUUUGGCUUUCUAAAAUAAAUUUUCGGGAAUUUUUCCCCAACUAAAAUGUUUUCCGUUUUUUAUAAAAAAAAUUAAGUAUGUUUGAUAUGAUGUAAAUCAAUUCGAUUAAUUUUGCUGUGAGCUAAUAUGGGAUUUAUAUUGCUUGUGUGGAUGCUUAUCUAUAUGUUUGUUGUCGAUAUAGUUUAGUUCUAUAUUGGGUGAUAAGUCAAGAAUCGAAAUAGUAUUUACUUAGGAAGAGUUUCCGAUAUGAGAUCGAGUUAGAUGGAGUGUAGUGUUGGAAUAGUACUAAGAUAGGAAUAGAGUUCUUAGUAAGGAAGUUUCUGACUGAUUUCUUUUAUUCUUAUCAUGAACUACUCUGUUGUGAUGAUACCUGAAGAUACAAGCAGAGGACAGAAGUAAGUUCACCCGAGUGCUACAAGACUAAGCUAAGUUUGUCAUGUGGGCAUUAUUUUACUAUACGUAUAUAGAGAUCCCCCUGCGUGUCUUAGGCCUCUAAUACGAAAUGAAAUGAAUGAUAUGAUUUAACUGUUCAGUUUCUGUUUGAUGAAAACUACCAAUGAUGAAUGAUAGAGUUAAAGUUGUGUUUAAACUAAUUGACUUGCCAAUUUUUGAUGAUGAUGAGCUUGUAUGUUACCCUCUACUGAUGAGACGAAUUCGGUCAUGCCACAAGCGGAAUUUUAUGCACAGAGGUGACUGUGAGCCAUCUAUCGGGUCGGCCGGUCAUGGUACCUGAGAGAGAGGCCUACUUCUCAGUACCUUUGAUGAUGAGUUGUAGAUGUGGUACAUACAUGAUGAAUAUUUUUACUGCAGUUGUUUAUUAUGAUGUUUAUGAUUAAAAUUUUCAUGCACAUGUUCGUUUAUACUAAAAUCCCCGUGUUUUGCUCGAAUUGUGACAAGUUCAAUUAAUAGUUCUAAGAGCAAGCUUUCAUUUGUUUUUCGGCAUAUGUCCAUUGAGUAUUCUGUACUCAGCCCUGCAUGUAUUUCUAAACGUGCAGGAUAAGCGAGGAGGGAGAUUGGACUAGUGCUGGUGGGGACUUUGUUUCGAAUGAUGUUUCCUUUUUCCGUAUUUCUAUUUCUUAUGGUAGUACCGUAAUGAUGGAGUUUAUUUUGGAUUUGAUCAAGGAAUAUACACUUAGCUAUAUGUCUUCAUACAUAUAGUCUAUUCACGUUUUACUGUGAUACUCUGCAUUUUAUGAACCAUUGUAAAUAUUGAACUAUUUCCACUUUGUAAAUGUUGUCGAGAAUCUUGAUACUUUUGAACUUAUGAAGCCGAUGAUAUUUAUAUCUUUGAGAUGUUAUUAUUGUUGCUUGCC
Molecule: long non-coding RNA, 2607 nt
Filed under: Salvia miltiorrhiza (redroot sage)
Lineage: Eukaryota; Viridiplantae; Streptophyta; Magnoliopsida; Lamiales; Lamiaceae
Description: long non-coding RNA (SMIL_LNC005446)
Source: RNAcentral